GAAGGCAUAGGAAGAGGGACAGCACUUGAAGCCCUUCCAUUUUCAGAAAAAAGAAUCGGACUUUGAGAUAUGAAGAAACUGGGGUGAAGGGCCCCUCUCCCCUCAUAGAGGAUAUGGGGAGAUGGGAUGUGACAUUUUUCUGUGCUUAGGACUGUGUUCACAUGAACACAGUGAGAGGCCUGUUGAUAAAAAGAAGCAAUAUUGUUGGGAUGCCUAGGAUUUCAAAAUAUUACUUCAUAAUAAGCACAAAACACAUCUUAAAGCACAUAUUAUGGGUCCAGAAGAACACAUCUUUCAGUGUUCUUUACUUUGAGAAGUAUUUAAACUACUCUGGCAGAUGAAGGAAGGUAGCUUGUUUCCUUAUUUCCUGUCAAGUGAGCCAACUCCUGUGACCUGUAGUUAAAAAGGCCCUUUGUAAUUAAGGCAGUGAGCCUCCAAGUGAACAGUUCUCACAGUAGGAGGGGGAGCAGGGGGAAGAAGAAGAAGAAAAAAGCAACAACAAAAAAAAAAAAGAGGAUGCAUGACACUGCUUAACUAACUAAUCGGAGCUGAGCCAAUCCAUUUUCCUGCAGGCCACUCAGUGUACCAUGAGCACGCAGAAUCUCGCCCUUCAUUGGCUUCAUGUCCAUUUUAUGGACCAGCGAGUCUAUUAAGAUCUUGGUGAGUGGCCCUAUCCGAGGGCAGGGCUCCCUCUCUGCCUACCCACACACCACCAGAAACUGAUCAGCCGUGUUAUAUCAAUAACGUUCUCACACCAGGUUGUGUAAAUUGAUCUUUUACAAUUUCUCUCGGUGACAGUCUCUGUAACCAACAAGAUAAAUCAUUCCUCCUGUGGCUUUUUUAUUGAUUGCUGAGACCUGUAUAAAAAUUACACUGCUCAAGCUGUGAAGUGAACAUCCUCAUAAAAGAAGACCUUCUAUUUACAAUCAAAAUAUGUUUGGUCCAGAUCAAGCACAGAUAGUAAAUACUAUCCCAAUAGCAUAAGAGACCAGAAUUAACUAAAAUUCAAAGCACCAGCAAAGUAACCCACAUAAACUUUUAAAAUGUGAAUGGUGCACAACAACACCAAGGAAAAAAAAGAAAAGCAAACAAAAAAACCCCAAACUUGCAAGGUUAUAAACUCUUGUUGAAGCAAAGGCAGUUAUAAUAG
Molecule: long non-coding RNA, 1150 nt
Filed under: Cyanistes caeruleus (blue tit)
Lineage: Eukaryota; Metazoa; Chordata; Aves; Passeriformes; Paridae
Description: lncRNA (ENSCCEG00000022611.1)
Source: RNAcentral